AUUGAACGCUGGCGGCAGGCCUAACACAUGCAAGUCGAACGAGUGGCGGACGGGUGAGUAAUGUCUGGGAAACUGCCCGAUGGAGGGGGAUAAAUACUGGAAACGGUAGCUAAUACCGCAUACCAUCGGAUGUGCCCCGAUGGGAUUAGCUUGUAGGUGAGGUAACGGUCAACCUAGGCGACGAUCCCUAGCUGGGCUGAGAGGAUGACCAGUCACACGGGAACGGAGACACGGUCCAGACUCGUACGGGAGGCAGCAGGGGGGAAUAUUGCACAAUGUGCGCAAGCCUGAUGCAGCCAUGCCGCGUGUAGGAAGAAUGCCUUCGUGUUGUAAAGUACUUUCAGCGUGGAGGCGUUACCCGCAGAAGAAGCACCGGCUAACUCCGUGCCAGCCGCCGCGGUAAUAC
Molecule: ribosomal RNA, 406 nt
Filed under: uncultured bacterium
Lineage: Bacteria
Description: partial 16S ribosomal RNA
Rfam family: Bacterial small subunit ribosomal RNA
Source: RNAcentral